This is a long non-coding RNA of Hemibagrus wyckioides, 1431 nucleotides long. RefSeq lists it as uncharacterized. Lineage: Eukaryota; Metazoa; Chordata; Actinopteri; Siluriformes; Bagridae. The record is from RefSeq and is a predicted model, not a curated record. The transcript has 3 exons.
GAGAGAAGUGACCGAGUCUCUACUACAAAACCGUGCCUGUGUCUCAGGCGCUGCGCGAGCGCCUCCUCUCACACCACACCCACACAGUGACGUCAGAAUGACUGACUGACUGAAGGAAUUCCUCCAUGUGUUAAAGAUGGUGGGAUGAACAAAGAAAAAGAAGGGACAUUACUGAUGAGUGACCAACACGCGACUCAUCUGGAGCAAGUGCAGAAGCCGAGGACGGAUUUACUGCAUCACAACGAGUCUAAAAUAUUCAGCUCUGACUCUGAUUCACUAUCCUCACUGACUCUGAUUCACUAUCCUCACUGACUCUGAUUCACUAUCCUCACAGACUCUGAUUCACUAUCCACACUGACCUUCCUUGAGAAACCCUCACACUGUUAAACGAGUGCUAGAAUAAAUCCUGUGUAACAGUACAGUCAGAUGCAGAAGUAUUGGGAAAUAUGGAUAAGGAGGUAAAUGUGUGGUUUAAUGAGAUUAAUAUGACAUGAAAAAUAUAAAUAUUUACUCAGUGUAACGUUCUCUUAUCACCAGAACCUUCAUGCAUGAGAGACACUUUAUGAAGAAAGUAUGUGCACCCCUGACCAUCAGACCAUCAGACCUCAUCUCAUCCCUGAUUCAUUCCCUCUCCACUGUUACAAUCAGCUCCACUCUUCUCUUCUGGAAGGUUUCCCACUUGGACUCGGACUGUGUCUGUGGGGAUUAGUGAUCAUUCAGCUACAGGAGCAUUAGUGAGAUCAGACUCUGAUGUUGAGAAGCAUUAGUGAGAUCAAACUCUGAUGUUGAGGAGCAUUAGUGAGAUCAAACUCUGAUGUUGAGGAGCAUUAGUGAGAUCAGACUCUGAUGUUGAGGAGCAUUAGUGAGAUCAAACUCUGAUGUUGAGGAGCAUUAGUGAGAUCAGACUCUGAUGUUGAGGAGCAUUAGUGAGAUCAGACUCUGAUGUUGAGAAGCAUUAGUGAGAUCAGACUCUGAUGUUGAGGAGCAUUAGUGAGAUCAAACUCUGAUGUUGAGGAGCAUUAGUGAGAUCAGACUGAUGUUGAGAAGCAUUAGUGAGAUCAAACUCUGAUGUUGAGGAGCAUUAGUGAGAUCAAACUCUGAUGUUGAGGAGCAUUAGUGAGAUCAGACUCUGAUGUUGAGAAGCAUUAGUGAGAUCAGACUCUGAUGUUGAGGAGCAUUAGUGAGAUCAAACUCUGAUGUUGAGGAGCAUUAGUGAGAUCAGACUGAUGUUGAGAAGCAUUAGUGAGAUCAAACUCUGAUGUUGAGGAGCAUUAGUGAGAUCAAACUCUGAUGUUGAGGAGCAUUAGUGAGAUCAGACUCUGAUGUUGAGAAGCAUUAGUGAGAUCAGACUCUGAUGUUGAGGAGCAUUAGUGAGAUCAGACUCUGAUGUUGAGGAGCAUUAGUGAGAUCAGACUCUGAUGUUGAGAAGCA